Molecule: long non-coding RNA, 2356 nt
Filed under: Musa acuminata (dwarf banana)
Lineage: Eukaryota; Viridiplantae; Streptophyta; Magnoliopsida; Zingiberales; Musaceae
Description: long non-coding RNA (MACU_LNC000013)
Source: RNAcentral
UUUCUGAUAUCACCUAACAUUCUCCUUUGUUGUGCCAAUUGACUAUUCUUUAUACAUUUUUUUCGUGUUGCAUUUCACUUGAUCCUCUUCAAACUGUAAUUUCCAUCAUGGACCUUGUGGCAUGGAUGCAGGCUUUAGUGUUCGUGCUAUCUCUUAUGGUAAGAGCUGCUGCUAACAGAGCCGUCGAGUACGACAGUGAUGAUGAGUACAUCCGACAGCCGCUAAUGAAUCGGCAAGGAGUUCCACCUGUUCUUGGCACUCUCGACCAUCGUCCGAGUAGAAACGACGCCUGGAGCCAACGAAUGAGAGAAAAGGUAAUAUCUGUGCUUUGCAGGAAUUGUCUAUGCAUUUUUAUUGCUGUACCUAAUUCUCCUUUUGUUCUUUGCUCCUUUUGCUUCAAUGAUAGUACGGUCUUAAUACCUUCGAGUUCGCAUACAAACAAUCAAACCCUAGUAGAUAUCAACAAGCCACUGCAUCUCAGGCAGAAGAAAGAGGGAGCCGCUGUAUCAUACUCUGAGCAUCUCAACUUGGCGAGUUCUCAUGCGCAUAAUCCGCUAGUUGGUUUGUCUUGCAACCUGUACAACUUAUGAGAUUUCUCUCUUUAGUCCAAUGUGUAGGCUAAAUUUCUCUUUACUGCAUCCGUUACCUCUGAGAUGAAUAAUAUUUUGCAACAACUAAAUUAAUUCAAUAGCAUGUUUUUACAUGAAAACACAGAACAGUUAUUAACGGAGAAAACUAUAAUAAAAAAAUGCAUUUAAUUACAUUUAUAUAAGAAAAAAUAAAACAUAGUAACAUGACCGAAUUCCUUUUUUUGUUUAACAACAAAUGAGCAAAGGGGAGAGGCUUUUUUUUUUAUUUCUGUUCUAUAAUAUAAUACUACUGCUUGGGCCAUAAUUAUUGUUGCUCUUUUUAAAAAAUGAGAAAUAAUUGUUUAUUACAUUACCACCUACAAAAAUACCUACAAAGAUGCUCACACAAGAGAACUUGAGACUCCUACAUGGACUUGAUCUUAAGACUUCCACUUAGACAUCUCAAGAGAGAAGCAAAUUACUGUUGUUUUGAACCUUCGGAAGACCAACAAAAACUGGACAUGUCUAAUUACUAGUACAAAAAAUCAUAAAGAACAUGAUGAAUAGAACUCCUACGUAAGUCGCAAGAUCAGGGCUUGGGGAGGAUGAUCAGAUCAUCUCGGAAUAUCAUGAGUAACAUCACGGAUGUAUGUCAGUGGAUUGACAGACAAUGAAUCUUCACAUCACUUCAGCCCCCCAAACUUCACAAACACAUUCAACAACUUCACGACGUGAAAUCAAAUAGCAGCAGCAGCAGAAGAAGAAACAAAAAACGUAAAUAUAUCAAAACAAUACUGAAACGAAUCCGAAGAAGAAGAAGAAAAGGCUCAGAACUUCUUAGAGGGUUUGUGUCACCGUCAGCGAUGGUUGGAUCCAUCUCCGGGGCACAAGGAUUGGGUUUCUUCAUUGCCUUUUACCAAAUAGAACAGCGACGAGGUAGAAGAAGCAACGAAAGAAAUAGAGGCAGAGAUGAAGUCCGACUUGUGAGGAAUUGGGUUGAAGUUGUUAUCGGAGAGACGGCCGCUGGUUAUGUUAUAUAGUGGUGGUGGGAGGACGAGACGAAGAAACCCUAGAUUUUGUGAUCGAAUUACGUCGAUUUGAACCGUCGAUCUUAACCAGACCUGCGAACGCCGCCACCGUGUUGAGCCUCUGCCCAUUUAGUGUUGAUCCUUAGCUUAUCAAAAAUAUUACAUAUGCCAUAUAUAUAUACAUAUAUGUAUGUAUAGCAUAUAUGUAUGUAUAUAUACAUAUAUACAUAUAUAUACAUAUAUAUAUGUAUAUACACCAACAAUUAAGAUGAAACUGUUUAGUAUUUUUCUAAUUAUUCCUGCCUUCAUCACCGGGAUGUCUUCUAAAACACAAGAAGACUAGAAGAUGAUCAAUAGAUAGGCAUUAAUCUCAGUAAAAAAAAAGAAAAUUCCAGAAAAUAAUCAAACAUGGAUUUCACCUCCAAGCUUUCUAAGAUCGAAUUUUUAGAAGUGAGAUCGUUCGAACACGAAAGAGAGAAGGAUAAUCGAACUUUCAAAUGAAUUGACGCACAGAAAAGAUCAAGAACAAAAAAGAAGAGAAGCCCUCAAAACCUGGGUAGGAAGAUUGGAGGUCGACUACACCGCCUGGCUUACUCUAUCUGCCUUGCCUUCUUCGCCUUCUUGCUGCCUUCCCGACUCUCCCCUUCCCGCUGCCAUGGCCGAUGCUCCCUCUCAGUGUGAUGAUUCCUGCCGUUCACUGGUGGUUAACAAACGCCGCGUCCCCCCAGAGCGGGAAACGCCUGUUCAACCGGCUCUUCU